RNAcentral lists this non-coding RNA (77 nucleotides) under cyanobacterium PCC 7702. Its description in RNAcentral is "CyVA-1 RNA". It matches the Rfam family "CyVA-1 RNA". From Rfam's summary of the family: Cyanobacteria, Acidobacteria (1 example), Verrucomicrobia (1 example). Big IGRs Lineage: Bacteria; Bacillati; Cyanobacteriota; Cyanophyceae; Nostocales; Stigonemataceae. The record is from Rfam by way of RNAcentral.
GCACUGACAGGAAGUUUUACCGUUGUGUUCCUUUACUGCUUCUUGAAGGAGAGCGACGUCAAAGAAGCAGACAGUGC